ACGAAGCUGCCCGGAUGGAGGAUUUGAACCGAUCAGAGGUUCGACGCCUGAGCAACGCGAAGGCGAACAGCGCAAGCUGGCCCCGAAGGGGUGAGGCCCACAGGGCCGAAUAAUCCUCCAUCCCCAGCCA
This 130-nucleotide small RNA is filed under the name gamma proteobacterium symbiont of Ctena orbiculata. RNAcentral's name for it is "RtT sRNA". It matches the Rfam family "RtT RNA". Rfam says of the family: This family represents a bacterial cis-regulatory element known as RtT RNA. The exact function of RtT is unknown although it is thought that it may be involved in changing the cellular response in relation to amino acid starvation. The record is from RNAcentral. RNAcentral also lists the same sequence under 3 other names. Lineage: Bacteria; Pseudomonadati; Pseudomonadota; Gammaproteobacteria.